This 402-nucleotide ribosomal RNA is filed under the name Sodreana curupira. RNAcentral describes it as "partial small subunit ribosomal RNA". The record is from RNAcentral. Lineage: Eukaryota; Metazoa; Arthropoda; Arachnida; Opiliones; Gonyleptidae.
GAUUAGAUACCCUAGUAUUAUAAUAUAAUUUGAAAUUAGUAUAAGUGAAAUUUAAUAAUUUUGGCGGUUAAUUAGUAUUUAGAGGAGCUUGUAUCUUAGUAGAAUCUGCUCUUUAUAUUUUAUUAGUAAUUUAAUUUAUUCAUCUCCGUUAUUAAUUUUUAAAAAAGGAGGUUAAGAAAAAUUUAAUAGUUAAUUAUUUUAUAUUUCAGGUCAAGAUGUAGUCUUUAUUUAGAGAUAUUAGCUACAUUUAUGUAAUUAAUGAAAUAUUUAAUUUUAAAUGGUAGAAGGUAGGAAAUUGAAUUUAAUUGUAAUUAUUAAUUAAGAUAUUAGUAUGAAUUAGUCUGAUUAAUGUACAUAUUGCCCGUCACUUCUAUAUAAAAUGGAAUAAGUCGUAACAAAGUA